RNAcentral lists this ribosomal RNA (661 nucleotides) under uncultured bacterium. RNAcentral's name for it is "bacterial SSU rRNA". It matches the Rfam family "Bacterial small subunit ribosomal RNA", at positions 61 to 719 of the family's 1533-position model. The record is from RNAcentral.
GUCGAACGGUAACGCGGGGCAACCUGGCGACGAGUGGCGAACGGGUGAGUAAUACAUCGGAACGUGCCCAGUAGUGGGGGAUAGCCCGGCGAAAGCCGGAUUAAUACCGCAUACGACCUACGGGUGAAAGGGGGGGAUCGCAAGACCUCUCGCUAUUGGAGCGGCCGAUGUCAGAUUAGGUUGUUGGUGGGGUAAAAGCCUACCAAGCCGACGAUCUGUAGCUGGUCUGAGAGGACGACCAGCCACACUGGGACUGAGACACGGCCCAGACUCCUACGGGAGGCAGCAGUGGGGAAUUUUGGACAAUGGGCGCAAGCCUGAUCCAGCCAUGCCGCGUGCGGGAAGAAGGCCUUCGGGUUGUAAACCGCUUUUGUCAGGGAAGAAACGGCCUGGGUUAAUACCUUGGGCUAAUGACGGUACCUGAAGAAUAAGCACCGGCUAACUACGUGCCAGCAGCCGCGGUAAUACGUAGGGUGCAAGCGUUAAUCGGAAUUACUGGGCGUAAAGCGUGCGCAGGCGGCCAUGCAAGACAGAUGUGAAAUCCCCGGGCUCAACCUGGGAACUGCAUUUGUGACUGCAUGGCUCGAGUACGGCAGAGGGGGAUGGAAUUCCGCGUGUAGCAGUGAAAUGCGUAGAUAUGCGGAGGAACACCGAUGGCGAA